This 2907-nucleotide ribosomal RNA is filed under the name Salmonella enterica. RNAcentral's name for it is "23S ribosomal RNA". It matches the Rfam family "Bacterial large subunit ribosomal RNA". The record is from RNAcentral. Lineage: Bacteria; Pseudomonadati; Pseudomonadota; Gammaproteobacteria; Enterobacterales; Enterobacteriaceae.
GGUUAAGCGACUAAGCGUACACGGUGGAUGCCCUGGCAGUCAGAGGCGAUGAAGGGCGUGCUAAUCUGCGAUAAGCGCCGGUAAGGUGAUAUGAACCGUUAUAACCGGCGAUACCCGAAUGGGGAAACCCAGUGUGACUCGUCACACUAUCAUUAACUGAAUCCAUAGGUUAAUGAGGCGAACCGGGGGAACUGAAACAUCUAAGUACCCCGAGGAAAAGAAAUCAACCGAGAUUCCCCCAGUAGCGGCGAGCGAACGGGGAGGAGCCCAGAGCCUGAAUCAGCAUGUGUGUUAGUGGAAGCGUCUGGAAAGGCGCGCGAUACAGGGUGACAGCCCCGUACACAAAAGCGCAUGUGCUGUGAGCUCGAUGAGUAGGGCGGGACACGUGGUAUCCUGUCUGAAUAUGGGGGGACCAUCCUCCAAGGCUAAAUACUCCUGACUGACCGAUAGUGAACCAGUACCGUGAGGGAAAGGCGAAAAGAACCCCGGCGAGGGGAGUGAAAAAGAACCUGAAACCGUGUACGUACAAGCAGUGGGAGCACAGGUUUACCUGUGUGACUGCGUACCUUUUGUAUAAUGGGUCAGCGACUUAUAUUCUGUAGCAAGGUUAACCGAAUAGGGGAGCCGCAGGGAAACCGAGUCUUAAUUGGGCGUUAAGUUGCAGGGUAUAGACCCGAAACCCGGUGAUCUAGCCAUGGGCAGGUUGAAGGUUGGGUAACACUAACUGGAGGACCGAACCGACUAAUGUUGAAAAAUUAGCGGAUGACCUGUGGCUGGGGGUGAAAGGCCAAUCAAACCGGGAGAUAGCUGGUUCUCCCCGAAAGCUAUUUAGGUAGCGCCUCGUGAAUUCAUCUCCGGGGGUAGAGCACUGUUUCGGCUAGGGGGCCAUCCCGGCUUACCAACCCGAUGCAAACUGCGAAUACCGGAGAAUGUUAUCACGGGAGACACACGGCGGGUGCUAACGUCCGUCGUGAAGAGGGAAACAACCCAGACCGCCAGCUAAGGUCCCAAAGUCAUGGUUAAGUGGGAAACGAUGUGGGAAGGCCCAGACAGCCAGGAUGUUGGCUUAGAAGCAGCCAUCAUUUAAAGAAAGCGUAAUAGCUCACUGGUCGAGUCGGCCUGCGCGGAAGAUGUAACGGGGCUAAACCAUGCACCGAAGCUGCGGCAGCGACACUAUGUGUUGUUGGGUAGGGGAGCGUUCUGUAAGCCUGCGAAGGUGUCUCGUGAGGGAUGCUGGAGGUAUCAGAAGUGCGAAUGCUGACAUAAGUAACGAUAAUGCGGGUGAAAAACCCGCACGCCGGAAGACCAAGGGUUCCUGUCCAACGUUAAUCGGGGCAGGGUGAGUCGACCCCUAAGGCGAGGCCGAAAGGCGUAGUCGAUGGGAAACAGGUUAAUAUUCCUGUACUUGGUGUUACUGCGAAGGGGGGACGGAGAAGGCUAUGUUGGCCGGGCGACGGUUGUCCCGGUUUAAGCGUGUAGGUGUGUGUUCCAGGUAAAUCCGGUUCACUUUAACACUGAGGCGUGAUGACGAGGCACUACGGUGCUGAAGCAACAAAUGCCCUGCUUCCAGGAAAAGCCUCUAAGCAUCAGGUAACAUCAAAUCGUACCCCAAACCGACACAGGUGGUCAGGUAGAGAAUACCAAGGCGCUUGAGAGAACUCGGGUGAAGGAACUAGGCAAAAUGGUGCCGUAACUUCGGGAGAAGGCACGCUGACACGUAGGUGAAGUGAUUUACUCACGGAGCUGAAGUCAGUCGAAGAUACCAGCUGGCUGCAACUGUUUAUUAAAAACACAGCACUGUGCAAACACGAAAGUGGACGUAUACGGUGUGACGCCUGCCCGGUGCCGGAAGGUUAAUUGAUGGGGUCAGCGCAAGCGAAGCUCCUGAUCGAAGCCCCGGUAAACGGCGGCCGUAACUAUAACGGUCCUAAGGUAGCGAAAUUCCUUGUCGGGUAAGUUCCGACCUGCACGAAUGGCGUAAUGAUGGCCAGGCUGUCUCCACCCGAGACUCAGUGAAAUUGAACUCGCUGUGAAGAUGCAGUGUACCCGCGGCAAGACGGAAAGACCCCGUGAACCUUUACUAUAGCUUGACACUGAACAUUGAGCCUUGAUGUGUAGGAUAGGUGGGAGGCUUUGAAGUGUGGACGCCAGUCUGCAUGGAGCCGACCUUGAAAUACCACCCUUUAAUGUUUGAUGUUCUAACGUGGACCCGUAAUCCGGGUUGCGGACAGUGUCUGGUGGGUAGUUUGACUGGGGCGGUCUCCUCCUAAAGAGUAACGGAGGAGCACGAAGGUUGGCUAAUCCUGGUCGGACAUCAGGAGGUUAGUGCAAUGGCAUAAGCCAGCUUGACUGCGAGCGUGACGGCGCGAGCAGGUGCGAAAGCAGGUCAUAGUGAUCCGGUGGUUCUGAAUGGAAGGGCCAUCGCUCAACGGAUAAAAGGUACUCCGGGGAUAACAGGCUGAUACCGCCCAAGAGUUCAUAUCGACGGCGGUGUUUGGCACCUCGAUGUCGGCUCAUCACAUCCUGGGGCUGAAGUAGGUCCCAAGGGUAUGGCUGUUCGCCAUUUAAAGUGGUACGCGAGCUGGGUUUAGAACGUCGUGAGACAGUUCGGUCCCUAUCUGCCGUGGGCGCUGGAGAACUGAGGGGGGCUGCUCCUAGUACGAGAGGACCGGAGUGGACGCAUCACUGGUGUUCGGGUUGUCAUGCCAAUGGCACUGCCCGGUAGCUAAAUGCGGAAGAGAUAAGUGCUGAAAGCAUCUAAGCACGAAACUUGCCCCGAGAUGAGUUCUCCCUGAGACUUAGAGUCUCCUGAAGGAACGUUGAAGACGACGACGUUGAUAGGCCGGGUGUGUAAGCGCAGCGAUGCGUUGAGCUAACCGGUACUAAUGAACCGUGAGGCUUAACCUU